Molecule: long non-coding RNA, 1294 nt
Filed under: Equus asinus (donkey)
Lineage: Eukaryota; Metazoa; Chordata; Mammalia; Perissodactyla; Equidae
Description: lncRNA (ENSEASG00005024685.1)
Source: RNAcentral
UAGUGUUUUUAAAGUGUCUGGCACAUAGUAGGCAGUACUCAGGAAACUUGAGUUCCUUUCCGGCUUCCUUUUUAAGUCUCUUCCAGCUCUAAAACACUCUGGCCCCAAUCCAGUUCCUUUGUCAUCAAAAUCCAGUCCAUGGCUUAGAAAAAGCCCUAAUUCCCAAUCACUGCAGGAGCACACACACCUGAAUUGCUUCUUUCAGUUUUCCAAAUUGCCACUAAAACUUUCUUCCUGGGAAGUAUUUGCCCCAAUUCACCGUCUCUUAAAGUGUGUAGCCACAGUUUUUCUUCCCUGAUUCUACUUCAACUUCCCUUCCCCCCCGGCAGUGGCUGAGGGAAAUUUAGGGCAAAAGGGACUGCCCCAGGGCAGAACUCCUCUGAGCCUCUCAUUUCCGCUCCUCCAGGUGUUUCGCUGCAAGCCCAAGAUUUAGCAAGUGUUUCCCACGUAGGAAGAGCGCAGACCCGGCCCAUCUUCCAGGCUCUGGCUUUGGGAUUAGUGGGUCCAAAAAUAGGGUCCCCUGGGGGCUUGGUUUCUUGGUGGUUUCACUAAAAGGCGUGGAUGGCGGGCUGCUGCGAGGUGGUCCUUCUCGGGGAAGGGAGCUCCUUGUUCUGAACUCCUUAAUUCCAGGGAAGCUUCAGAUCCGCAGGUGUGAGAAAGAUGUACUUAGAAGCAGCGGUUUGGACCAAUUGAAAGCAAAAGAGGCUGGACUCCAGACAUGAAAUCAGCAUCAGGAUUUGGCGAAGAGAUGAAAGAGAAGUGAAUUUUGGAUUAAAGAAAUGACAGAGUCUAUCAGACCUCCAUGAUCCAGUAAGGUGCUACAUUUUGGUGACUUUGUUCCAUGAAGAGGAGCCACAAAAUGAUUUUGAGUAGAGGAGUAGGAUGUGGUCAGAUGCAGGCUUUAGUAUAAAGAAUGAACUGAGUGUAGAGGGAAAGAAACAGAUGAGAGGCAGAGACCCGUUUGGAGAACAGCAAUAGACUGUGCAAGAGAUGAAAGCAGUGACUGUGAAACGGGGGAGAGAUCUCAAGAGACAGCUCAUGAAUGGAACACCUAAACAUUGUCCAAAACAGAGGAACUCUUAAAACUUGAAAAGAUGGCUAAUGUUCAAGAUAUACCUUUUUUAAAGUAAACUUUUUAAUAAAGUAUAAUAUACACAUAAAAAGUGUACUAAUUAUGUGUCAGCUAAUGAAUUUUCACGAUCUGAGCACACUCAUGUUGCUAUUACCCAGUUCAAGAAACAGAGCAUUACCAGCAUCUUAAAAGCCUCCUUAAAGUCCCCUCCCAGUCAUUUAU